Molecule: ribosomal RNA, 319 nt
Filed under: uncultured bacterium
Lineage: Bacteria
Description: bacterial SSU rRNA
Rfam family: Bacterial small subunit ribosomal RNA
Source: RNAcentral
AAGCGCACAGGAUUGCAUGAUCUAGUGUAGAAAAACUCCGGUGGUAUAAGAUGGACCCGCGUCUGAUUAGCUGGUUGGUGAGGUAACGGCCCACCAAGGCGACGAUCAGUAGCCGACCUGAGAGGGUGACCGGCCACAUUGGGACUGAGACACGGCCCAAACUCCUACGGGAGGCAGCAGGUGGGGAAUAUUGCACAAGUGGGGGAAACCCUGAUGCAGCGACGCCGCGUGAGCGAAGAAGUAUUUCGGUAUGUAAAGCUCUAUCAGCAGGGAAGAAAAAAUGACGGUACCUGACUAAGAAGCCCCGGCUAGCUACGUG